UCACCUGGCGGCGGUAUUAGUCAUUUUGAGGUAAACUUUGGUUUGCUUCGCUGAAAUCGUCCACAAGUGUUUCACUUUCUUUAGGGCGCCCCGUUGGGAGAGUCACCUAGCACACGCACGCACCACAUCAAAGAGUUGGCCAAAUUUCAGUGACAAAUCUUCACGUUUACUCAACACUUCGUCACUCUUCUUCGAGCCGAGACGUAUCGUGGGGGUUGAAACUUUUUCAGUAGAAUCGAUUUUGGUUUUCUUUUUUGUUAGCCCAAUUCUAUCUUGGCCUUAGCAACACUAGCUCUCUCUUACCACCUUUCGAUCGCCAGUAAUAAAGAAUUCUUUAAUUUUGCAAGAGGCUUUCUCAAUCGAUUUUAAAACUGAUCUAUGCUAGGCCAUCUUUUUUCAAAAGUAACUUGGAACCAUUCGUUUCAUCGCAUAUCUUCUCAUCUCGCCCUUUAAAUCGUGAUUAAUUGCUGCUGAAAAACAAAUCGAAAGAAAUCUUUUAAAAUCUACCUGCUCUAAUCAAAAAGUUUUUAUGUCGACAGUGUGAAAUCUCAAAAGUGAAACAAGGAUAGAGACGAUGGAACACGUAAUGGAUUUAGCUUCGGAAAUUUCGGAAAGUUCUUCGUUGGUGUCGGAGGAUAUGCGAACUCUAGACGGUAGCGUCGACGGUGAACCCCGCGCCGAUGGACUGUACGAAGAACGCUUUCGUGUUGAUCGACGCAAAUUGGAAUCAAUGCUUUUAGUACCUGCUGAGGGUGGAAGUGAAGCAGCUGCUGAACGUUUUUCCUCAGGGUUAUGCAAGAAACAAGCACUGUAAUUAUGUGGCCAGAGGAAAUUGAAAGUUGGUUCCAAAUCAAAACGAGAUCCGCAUGUGCGUGUGGCUGGAGAGCCUGAAUCAGUUCGCGCUGCUAAAGAACGCAUUAUGGCCGUGCUUGAUACAAGGCAAAGCAAUGGAGUGACUCUAAAAAUGGAAGUGAGCUAUACUGACCAUUCUCAUAUUAUUGGACGUGGAGGUAACACCCUUAGCCGCGUCAUGGAGGAGACACGUUGUCAUGUCCAUUUCCUGAUUCGAAUCGCACCAAUCAAACGGAAAAGAGCAACUUGGUUACUGUCGCUGGAGAACUGGCUGGCGUUGAGAAAGCUAGGGCUCGCGUCCGGGAUUUGAUGCCGUUGGUGGUGAUGUUCGAAUUUACCCAUCACAGGUUGCUUUCAGGCUUUUCCUGAUGUGGAAUCGCCAUUUAUCCAAAACUUACAGUCGCGUUACUGUGUACAAGUUUCCUUUCGUGCCCGUUCCC
Molecule: long non-coding RNA, 1292 nt
Organism: Daphnia magna
Lineage: Eukaryota; Metazoa; Arthropoda; Branchiopoda; Diplostraca; Daphniidae
Exons: 7
Source: RefSeq, a predicted model, not a curated record